RNAcentral lists this unclassified non-coding RNA (217 nucleotides) under fungal sp. Its description in RNAcentral is "partial internal transcribed spacer region". The stretch from base 1 to 46 matches the Rfam family "Eukaryotic small subunit ribosomal RNA", at positions 1786 to 1831 of the family's 1831-position model. Lineage: Eukaryota; Fungi. The record is from RNAcentral. RNAcentral also lists the same sequence under 2 other names.
AAGUCGUAACAAGGUCUCCGUUGGUGAACCAGCGGAGGGAUCAUUACCGAGUACUAUAACUCAUAACCCUUUGUGAACCUUCAUACCUGUUGCUUCGGCGGCGCGCCUCUCGGGGCGUGCCCGCCGGCAUUAUCAGAAUCUCUGUUCGAACCCGACGAUACUUCUGAGUGUUCUAAGCGAACUGUUAAAACUUUCAACAACGGAUCUCUUGGCUCCA